UGGGGCGUCGUCAAGUGGUAAGACACAGGACUUUGACUCCUGUAUUCGCAGGUUCGAAUCCUGCCGCCCCAGCCA
This 75-nucleotide transfer RNA is filed under the name Desulfolithobacter dissulfuricans. Its description in RNAcentral is "Desulfobulbaceae bacterium GF1 tRNA-Gln". It matches the Rfam family "tRNA". Rfam says of the family: Transfer RNA (tRNA) molecules are approximately 80 nucleotides in length. Their secondary structure includes four short double-helical elements and three loops (D, anti-codon, and T loops). The record is from RNAcentral. Lineage: Bacteria; Pseudomonadati; Thermodesulfobacteriota; Desulfobulbia; Desulfobulbales; Desulfobulbaceae.